RNA transcript from Neocloeon triangulifer, 1875 nucleotides. It is a transcript of the gene named peroxisomal leader peptide-processing protease-like, with no coding region annotated. The record is from RefSeq and is a predicted model, not a curated record. The transcript is spliced from 8 exons. Lineage: Eukaryota; Metazoa; Arthropoda; Insecta; Ephemeroptera; Baetidae.
CUAAAGUGCCGGUGCCGCCCAUGCGAUUUCAAGUUUGUUUUUGUUUCAAGAUUUUUGGACGAUAGAAAUUCCUGAGAAGAAAAUGUAACGUUUAUUUGGGCUAUAUAGAGAUAUUUCCAGACUUCAGACUUCAACUUGACUUCCAAAAUUUAAGCAGACCGGAUGUUGAUGACAAGGGUGCGCAGAACCGCCUCCAGGCUGCCGCCCCCGCACAAGCCGCAGGGCGUCCUGGUCGAGGUGGACGGCGACAACGGCCGGCCCCUGAGCUGCUCAGGGCUGCGAUGGGGGCGGCUGGUGCUCACCCACGGCUCCCUGCUGCCCCCUGGAAAGGCCCCCGCCGCCCCCGGGGGCCGUCUCGCCCCCACAGGGUCUCCUGAUUUGCGCUCAAGAAUCGUCGGCGAGGACGGCCGGCUGGGCGGCCGCGUCGUGGCCGCCUGGCGCUGCCCCCUGCUGGACGCCACGGCCGCCGAGUUGGCCUCCAAGGGGUGGAACUUCCCCAACGCCGACCUCGCCCUCUUCCUAGUCAUCCAAGUUGAUGACCCUUUUCAGCCAGACCUGACCCUAGAUGAGGUCAGGGCAGAAUUGCAGACGCUGCUGAGCGAGUGGGUGACGGCGCCGGUGACUGGACAGGCGGUUCUCCUUGAGGCCACCCCCUUUGGCGCCGGACACUUUUUCCUCAAUACUUGGACCAAAGGCAUUAUAAACAAAGUGACUGGCCAAGGGCAAAGCAUUAUUUUGUGUGAUUCCCACGCCGCCCCUGGAAGCGAGGGUGGUGCCCUUUACUCCGUUGGCACAGAGGGUCGCAAGGUGCUCUUAGGCCUGGUCGUGCAGACCAUCUUCAAGGUCAGGGGCGAGGCCGUUUCAUUGUGCAUGGCCGCUUCCCUUCAAACAGUUCUCUCCACGGCACUUGGAAUUCUCACAGAAAACAUCACCAAACCUCUUCCUUCCGAUUCACCAGAAGUCGCCUCCAGAGGAGUGGCGCUUUUGAGGCACGGAGGUGCGUGGGCUUCGGCCGUCGCCCUGGACUCGGCCAAAGGCAUUUACCUCACUUGUGCCCAUGUGCUUCAGGCUGAUUCCAAAAACUCUGUGCUGCUGCAGUGGACAAAUGGCUCUGGUCCUGUUGCGGCCUCAAUUUUAUACCUCAGUCCGUCGUCUUCAGCCUUCGACGUGGCCCUGCUAAAGACGGCCGCUGCGCCGGGACCAAAAGUGGCGCCGAAAAUUUCCCGCCGACUUCCAACUAAAGGUGAAAUAGUUGAGGUGAUUGGAUACGGCCUUUUGUCGCCACCAGGACCGGAAAAGACCUUACAUGGCCCUUUGGUGUCCCGCGGCUGUAUUUCGCAGGUGUGGCCUCACAUGCUGCAGACCAGUUGCGCCGUCCACUGCGGCAACAGUGGUGGUGCCGUUCUGCAGGGCCAAGAACUGGUAGGCCUUGUCGUAGGACACACGGAGGUCACCUACACUGAUCCUGAGCUGCCCAAAAACUGGCCCCGUAUCAACUUUGCUGUCCCCCUGGCUGCAAUUGCCAAUCCCAUCGAGCGUUUCCUCAAAACGGGUGAUGAAAAGUAUUUGGAUGCACUUGGAAACUUUGACAAGGAAGCAACGCGCCUUUGGCAGCUAAACCCCAUUCCAAAAAGCAAAUUGUGAAAGAUUUUCUAGGACUUUGAUAUUAAGCUGUGAUAUAAAAAAUACUUGAUGAGCUACUGGUCGAAGGAUUUUAUCAUUUUUUUUUGUUUCCCUGUGGAAAAAAAUCACGUGAUGGCAGCACCAGCACCAAAUUUAAUAGACGAAGGGGGCGUGGCAUUUUUUUGCACAAAAACAAGAAGAAUUGAAGAAAAGAGUUUUGCAGAUUUAUUUUACAAUAAUGGCAAGCCCAGC